GGACGUGAGGGCGACCUGGCUGUGACAUCUGUCACCCCAUUGAUUGCCAGGAUUGAUUUGGUUGAUCUGGCUGACCAGGUGGGUGUCCCCUUUCCACCUUACCCCUCCAUGUGCAUCCCUCCUGAAGCUCCACACUUGGUUGAAGAUGAUGACCAUCCCUGCCAGAGAGGACCGUUCUUCAAUCAAGGGUAUACGAGUAGCUGCACUCUUGCUGCUAGAACCUCUAAACAAGCUCUCAAGAGGUGAGGUCUUUAGGAGGUGAAUGAGUUAUGAGGGCAGAGUUACUAUUAAAAGGGUUGUUGGGAGUGAGUGGGGCUGUUGAGUUUGCUCUCAAGCUCUUCUGCCAGGUAAGGAACAGCAUUCCUCUUCUC
This 371-nucleotide small nuclear RNA is filed under the name Carlito syrichta (Philippine tarsier). RNAcentral's name for it is "7SK RNA (ENSTSYG00000020549.2)". The stretch from base 1 to 301 matches the Rfam family "7SK RNA". Rfam says of the family: 7SK was discovered as an abundant small nuclear RNA in the mid-70s but a possible function has only recently been suggested. Two independent studies have found that 7SK RNA binds the CDK9/cyclin T complex (known as elongation factor P-TEFb). P-TEFb activates transcription by phosphorylating the C-terminal domain of RNA polymerase II. The record is from RNAcentral. Lineage: Eukaryota; Metazoa; Chordata; Mammalia; Primates; Tarsiidae.